UACGUAGGGGGCGAGCGUUGUCCGGAAUUAUUGGGCGUAAAGCGCACGUAGGCGGUCUGUUAUGUCGGACGUGAAAUCCCCCGGCUCAACCGGGGAAGUGCAUCCGAAACUGGCAGGCUUGAGUACGAAAGAGGGUCGCGGAAUUCCCGGUGUAGAGGUGAAAUUCGUAGAUAUCGGGAGGAACACCGGUGGCGAAGGCGGCGACCUGGGUCGAUACUGACGCUGAGGUGCGAAAGCGUGGGGAGCAAACAGG
This 253-nucleotide ribosomal RNA is filed under the name uncultured bacterium. RNAcentral describes it as "partial 16S ribosomal RNA". It matches the Rfam family "Bacterial small subunit ribosomal RNA", at positions 524 to 776 of the family's 1533-position model. The record is from RNAcentral.